This 30-nucleotide non-coding RNA is filed under the name Homo sapiens (human). The record is from RNAcentral. Lineage: Eukaryota; Metazoa; Chordata; Mammalia; Primates; Hominidae.
UGCUGCCAAAUGAGCCAUGAACUGGGCUGU